Molecule: ribosomal RNA, 508 nt
Filed under: uncultured bacterium
Lineage: Bacteria
Description: bacterial SSU rRNA
Rfam family: Bacterial small subunit ribosomal RNA
Source: RNAcentral
CCUACGGGAGGCAGCAGUGGGGAAUCUUGCGCAAUGGGCGAAAGUCUGACGCAGCCAUGCCGCGUGAAUGAUGAAGGUCUUAGGAUUGUAAAAUUCUUUCACCGGGGACGAUAAUGACGGUACCCGGAGAAGAAGCCCCGGCUAACUUCGUGCCAGCAGCCGCGGUAAUACGAAGGGGGCUAGCGUUGCUCGGAAUUACUGGGCGUAAAGGGAGCGUAGGCGGAUAGUUUAGUCAGAGGUGAAAGCCCAGGGCUCAACCUUGGAAUUGCCUUUGAUACUGGCUAUCUUGAGUAUGGGAGAGGUUAGCGGAACUCCGAGUGUAGAGGUGAAAUUCGUAGAUAUUCGGAAGAACACCAGUGGCGAAGGCGGCUAACUGGCCCAUUACUGACGCUGAGGCUCGAAAGCGUGGGGAGCAAACAGGAUUAGAUACCCUGGUAGUCCACGCCGUAAACGAUGAGUGCUAGUUAGUCGGUCGAUGCAUGCAUGUCGGUGGUACGCGACGCGUACG